Molecule: ribosomal RNA, 446 nt
Filed under: uncultured bacterium
Lineage: Bacteria
Description: partial 16S ribosomal RNA
Rfam family: Bacterial small subunit ribosomal RNA
Source: RNAcentral
CCUACGGGAGGCUGCAGUCGAGAAUAAUUCACAAUGGGGGAAACCCUGAUGGGGCGACGCCGCGUGGGGGAAUGAAGGUCUGCGGAUUGUAAACCCCUGUAAUGGGGGAGCAAAUUAAAAAGAUAGUACCACAAGAGGAAGAGACGGCGCACGCUGUGCCAGCAGCCGCGGUAAGACAGAGGUCACAAGCGAUGUUCGGAAUCACUGGGCGUAAAGGGUGCGUAGGCUGUUGCGUAAGGCGUGGGUGAACGGCGCGGGACCAACCCGCUGACGGCUCAUGAUACAGGGAGCCUAGAGUAAUGGAGGGGUAACCGGAAUUCUCGGUGUAGCCGUGCAAUGCUUAGAUAUCGGGAGGAACACUCGUGGCGAAGGCGGCUUCCUGGACUUUACCUGACGCUGAGGCACGAACGCCUGGGGAGCGAACCGGAUUAGAUACCCCAGUAGUC